Small nuclear RNA from Heterocephalus glaber (naked mole-rat), 107 nucleotides. The record is from Ensembl. NCBI's taxonomy places the organism in Eukaryota, Metazoa, Chordata, Mammalia, Rodentia, Bathyergidae.
GUGCUUUCUUCAGCAGCUCAUAUACUAAAAUAGGGACGAUACACAGAAGAUAAGCAUGGCUCCUGUGUAAGGAUGACACGCAAAUGCGUGAAGCAUUCCGUAUUUUU